GACGAACGCUGGCGGCGUGCUUAACACAUGCAAGUCGAACGGAAAGGCCCUGCUUUUGUGGGGUGCUCGAGUGGCGAACGGGUGAGUAACAUGUGAGUAACCUGCCCUUGACUUUGGGAUAACUUCAGGAAACUGGGGCUAAUACCGGAUAGGAGCUCCUGCUGCAUGGUGGGGGUUGGAAAGUUUCGGCGGUUGGGGAUGGACUCGCGGCUUAUCAGCUUGUUGGUGGGGUAGUGGCCUACCAAGGCUUUGACGAGUAGCCUGCCUGAGAGGGUGACCGGGCACAGUGGGACUGGGGUGCGGCCCAGACUCAUACGGGAGGCAAGAGUGGGGAAUAGUGCACAAUGGGCGGAGGCCGGAUGGAGCAACGCCGCGUGCGAGAUGACGGCCUUCGGGUUGUAAACCGCUUUAGCCUGUGACGAAGCGUGAGUGACGGUAAUGGAUAAAGAAGCACCGGCUAAUUACGU
This 467-nucleotide ribosomal RNA is filed under the name uncultured bacterium. RNAcentral's name for it is "partial 16S ribosomal RNA". It matches the Rfam family "Bacterial small subunit ribosomal RNA", at positions 28 to 506 of the family's 1533-position model. The record is from RNAcentral.